UAUAUUUGAGAGUUUGAUCCUGGCUCAGGAUGAACGCUGGCGGCGUGCCUAACACAUGCAAGUCGAGCGAUCUCUUCGGAGAGAGCGGCGGACGGGUGAGUAACGCGUGGGUAACCUGCCCUGUACACACGGAUAACAUACCGAAAGGUAUACUAAUACGGGAUAACAUACGAAAGUCGCAUGGCUUUUGUAUCAAAGCUCCGGCGGUACAGGAUGGACCCGCGUCUGAUUAGCUAGUUGGUAAGGUAAUGGCUUACCAAGGCAACGAUCAGUAGCCGACCUGAGAGGGUGAUCGGCCACACUGGAACUGAGACACGGUCCAGACUCCUACGGGAGGCAGCAGUGGGGAAUAUUGCACAAUGGGCGAAAGCCUGAUGCAGCAACGCCGCGUGAGCGAUGAAGGCCUUCGGGUCGUAAAGCUCUGUCCUCAAGGAAGAUAAUGACGGUACUUGAGGAGGAAGCCCCGGCUAACUACGUGCCAGCAGCCGCGGUAAUACGUAGGGGGCUAGCGUUAUCCGGAAUUACUGGGCGUAAAGGGUGCGUAGGUGGUUUUUUAAGUCAGAAGUGAAAGGCUACGGCUCAACCGUAGUAAGCUUUUGAAACUAGAGAACUUGAGUGCAGGAGAGGAGAGUAGAAUUCCUAGUGUAGCGGUGAAAUGCGUAGAUAUUAGGAGGAAUACCAGUAGCGAAGGCGGCUCUCUGGACUGUAACUGACACUGAGGCACGAAAGCGUGGGGAGCAAACAGGAUUAGAUACCCUGGUAGUCCACGCCGUAAACGAUGAGUACUAGGUGUCGGGGGUUACCCCCCUCGGUGCCGCAGCUAACGCAUUAAGUACUCCGCCUGGGAAGUACGCUCGCAAGAGUGAAACUCAAAGGAAUUGACGGGGACCCGCACAAGUAGCGGAGCAUGUGGUUUAAUUCGAAGCAACGCGAAGAACCUUACCUAAGCUUGACAUCCCAUUGACCUCUCCCUAAUCGGAGAUUUCCCUUCGGGGACAGUGGUGACAGGUGGUGCAUGGUUGUCGUCAGCUCGUGUCGUGAGAUGUUGGGUUAAGUCCCGCAACGAGCGCAACCCUUGCCUUUAGUUGCCAGCAUUAAGUUGGGCACUCUAGAGGGACUGCCGAGGAUAACUCGGAGGAAGGUGGGGAUGACGUCAAAUCAUCAUGCCCCUUAUGCUUAGGGCUACACACGUGCUACAAUGGGUGGUACAGAGGGUUGCCAAGCCGCGAGGUGGAGCUAAUCCCUUAAAGCCAUUCUCAGUUCGGAUUGUAGGCUGAAACUCGCCUACAUGAAGCUGGAGUUACUAGUAAUCGCAGAUCAGAAUGCUGCGGUGAAUGCGUUCCCGGGUCUUGUACACACCGCCCGUCACACCAUGGAAGUUGGGGGCGCCCGAAGCCGGUUAGCUAACCUUUUAGGAAGCGGCCGUCGAAGGUGAAACCAAUGACUGGGGUGAAGUCGUAACAAGGUAGCCGUAUCGGAAGGUGCGGCUGGGUCACCUCCUUUCU
Molecule: ribosomal RNA, 1505 nt
Filed under: Paraclostridium bifermentans
Lineage: Bacteria; Bacillati; Bacillota; Clostridia; Peptostreptococcales; Peptostreptococcaceae
Description: 16S ribosomal RNA
Rfam family: Bacterial small subunit ribosomal RNA
Source: RNAcentral